UACAGACCAUUCUGCCAGCUGCAAACCAAGCGGAUGAACAACUGGCAGCUCCCUUGGUUUCCAAGGAAGAACCGAAGGAGCCAGAAGCGCUGCCAAUCCCAGAACCCAUUGAGUAUGAGGAGCCUGUCCUCACUCAACUCAUUGUGGAAAGCUAUGAAGGUGAAAAAGGUCCAUGGAUUAUAUGAGGGAGAAGGAAGGGCAUGUUUUCAAGGGGGCAAUGUUUAUAAGGGCAUGUUUUCGGAGGGCCUCAUUACACUUGGGCCGAUGGAGUUAAGUAUGAGGUAACACAUUGUUAAAUGGAUCAUCAUUACAGCUGUUUGUAGUGAGGGCCAGGGCAAGGU
Long non-coding RNA from Sceloporus undulatus (fence lizard), 341 nucleotides. RefSeq lists it as uncharacterized. The record is from RefSeq and is a predicted model, not a curated record. NCBI's taxonomy places the organism in Eukaryota, Metazoa, Chordata, Lepidosauria, Squamata, Phrynosomatidae. The transcript is spliced from 3 exons.